GAUGAACGCUAGCGGCAGGCCUAACACAUGCAAGUCGAGGGGCAGCACAGGUAGCAAUACUGGGUGGCGACCGGCGGAUGGGUGCGUAACGCGUAUGCAACCUACCAUUGAUUGGGGCAUAGCCCGAAGAAAUUCGGAUUAAUACUCCAUAAUAUUCAUCAAAGGCAUCUUUUAUGAAUUAAAGCUUUUGCGAUCAAUGAUGGGCAUGCGUGACAUUAGUUAGUUGGUGAGGUAACGGCUCACCAAAACGAUGAUGUCUAGGGGUUCUGAGAGGAUUAUCCCCCAACUGGUACUGAGACACGGACCAGACUCCUACGGGAGGCAGCAGUGAGGAAUAUUGGUCAAUGGACGCAAGUCUGAACCAGCCAUGCCGCGUGCAGGAAGACAGCCCUAUGGGUUGUAAACUGCUUUUAUAUGGGAGCAAUAAGGUCUACGUGUAGACUGAUGAGAGUACCAUAUGAAUAAG
Molecule: ribosomal RNA, 466 nt
Filed under: uncultured bacterium
Lineage: Bacteria
Description: bacterial SSU rRNA
Rfam family: Bacterial small subunit ribosomal RNA
Source: RNAcentral